GACGAACGCUGGCGGCGUGGAUUAGGCAUGCAAGUCGAACGGUAUCAUCCUUUCGGGGGUGAGAGAGUGGCGAACUGGUGAGUAACACGUAGGUUAUCUACCCUCAAGACGGGGACAACCCAGGGAAACUUGGGCUAAUACCGGAUGUGAGCAACUUUUAGUUGUUUGAAAGGUGGCGUAAGCUGUCGCUUGGGGAUGAGCCUGCGUCCUAUUAGUUAGUUGGUGAGGUAACGGCUCACCUAGGCAAUGAUAGGUAGGCGGCCUUAACGGGUGGUCGCCCACACUGGGAUUGAGAUACGGCCCAGACUCCUACGGGAGGCAGCAGUCGAGAAUAGUCUACAAUGGUCGGAAGACUGAUAGUGCGACGCCGCGUGAACGAUGAAUCCCUUCGGGUGUAAGUUCUUUUAUAUGUGAGCAGUGCUUCUUAUAUUAACAGUAUGGGGAGAGAGAUAUUAGCAUAUGAAUAAGCAACGGCUAACUCCGUGCCAGCAGCCGCGGU
This 499-nucleotide ribosomal RNA is filed under the name uncultured bacterium. Its description in RNAcentral is "bacterial SSU rRNA". It matches the Rfam family "Bacterial small subunit ribosomal RNA", at positions 28 to 521 of the family's 1533-position model. The record is from RNAcentral.